GAUUGCAUCCCAUGAUGUGCCCAGGUUUUGAGAUGCUCCUCGUGAAUGAAAAUAGGACUGUCUGGUUCCUCCAUCCAUAGCAAGGGAGCCUAGACAGAAAUAACUUCUGUGCAUUUCUCCAGCUACAUUUAGGUAAGUGAUGCCUUUUCUUCGUUUUCUUUAAGAUGUCCUAUAAAACCCUAUUGAUGUAGCUCAGUUGUUUGAAAUUUAUGAUGCUUUAGAUAGGCUUUGGCCUGAGAUUGCCUUGAGGAAUGGUGUAGGUACACAAAUUAAGAAUAAAAAUAAGAUUGCAAAAAAUUGCACCACUUAAGGGAAUUAGUUGCUUUUUUCAUUAUCUUGAAUAAUUUGUUCUUAAAUGCAUCAGAGGGACCAAAUCAUAGCUGACUGAUCGGCUCGUUAUAAAUAAUUCUCACCUAUUCCUAAAAGCGGGGGCCUGUUGUGCACUUGCUACCUCCGUUUAGAGAAUAUUGCACUUCAAGCCCAUUGGAUUUGAAAGUAAUAGAAAUGGUCUUUUUAAAGCCAAUAUUCUAGAAUGAGCACUUCAUUAAAUCGAGACCCACCUUUUACCCAAAUUUAGCUAGACUUUAAUGUGCAUCACACAUCUCUAAUCUGGGCUUUUCCUAUAGCCUCUUUCAAAGGACAUAUUUGUUCAGCCUUAUCAGUGAGGUAUUCAAUCAUGCUUCCCUUGUAUCAGGCACCUCAAGGGCAGGAGCUAACACAAAUGUGCUUGGUUUUUAAUAGCUGAAAAUAUGUCUACGUGAGGUUAACUGUAUUUACCCAAUGCCAGAUACCUGAAAGAGUGUGAAAAAUUAAGGUAAUUAUUAAUGUCUCCAAAUAGCUGGAUGAUGGUGUCAUAUUUGCAAUGCAUAGAUUAUGCCAUCAUGUCAGAUUUGGGACACUUUGGGAGGUUGGGAAUGGGAUGGGGAUGGGUGGCAGUGAAUAACAUCAGACAGGGUGGAUACGUAAUUCCAAAGUUGGAAUUAGUGUCUCUAUUUUAACAGCAAUUCCUUUACUUAACAGCAAUUCUUUUCUGUUUAUCAUUUUAGGGAAAACUAGAAAAUACAGAAAUAUAUCAAGAAGAAAAAAAAUUUAAAAAUGACCCAAAAUCCCACCAACCAGAGACAGCUAUUAAUGAUUGUGGUAUAUUUAUUGAAUUUACUAAAGUCAUGCUAUACGCUAGGCACUGUGGAGGGACUGCAGAAAGACUUCAAGGACUGCACCGUCUUGUUAGAAAGAUGCCUAGACAACAUUUGAGAAACGCUGAUCAUGUCUGAUGACACAUAACUGCUAACAGUUACAUGGAAUUUUCUAUAUGCUAUAUACAAACAUACAAAUAUAUGUAUGUAUAUUUACUCAGCUCUCACAACAGCUACUACUGUUAUUAUGAAUCCUGUUUUAUAGUGAGAAAACUGAAACAUGGAGAGGUUAAGUAAUUUGCCCAAGAUCACAUAGCUACUAAGUGGUGGAACUGUGAUUAGAAUCCAGGCAUUCAGGCUCCAGAGUUCAUACUCUUCACAUACCACAUCUAUCUUGAAUAUAACAAUGUAGAGAAAAAGAAUUAUAGCAAGCAUAUGUCUAGGUAAGCAUUUUCCAGAAGUGACUGUUUUUUUGCAUUGGGUUUGUAAACUUUCAACAAUAAAGCAGGUUGGACUUUAUAUCAGUCAAAGCAGAAUAUUCUGAUGUCACCUUCCCCAAUGUUUAGGAUGUUAAUGAGAAUUGCUAAUCCAAGAGAAGAAAAUAAUCUCAUCUAAUUUGGGUAAGUCAAUUAUUUGAAAGUAGAAGAACCACCCUUCCACCUCUCUUGUUCUAAGGAACCUCUGGGGGAAGUACUGGAAAAAUAAUGCUUUCUAAUAAGCCCAAUAGGGCUUUUGAUUUGUAAUAACUAUUUUAAUAAGUAUCAGUUCAAUUCCUAUUAUUUUUAAGAAGUUCAUUGAAUGAAUUAAAGAACAAAUGAAUGAGCAAUGCUUUAGGCUAUAGGCUUUCAGAGGACGUAAUUCUAUGAAACAGACUCAGUGGUAUGCUGGCACCAGCUCCUACUUGCGUCUCUUUUCAACUUUGUGUUCAGUGACUUUGCCUUGGUAGCUUGACAUCAGCCAUGGUGGGAAUAUUUAAACUAAAUAACUGAGAAAAUGAUUCAUAUUAGAGAGCUUUCUUUUUUCCCGGGAACUAAGUGUUAAACAUUUACCAGCACACCACUGCCUAGACUUGUUAGGAAAUUCACAAGUGAGAAGAAAUUCUGUGAUUCCAGGAGAUGAAAGAGGGAAGUGUAAUGAGAAUAUCAACUUGAGUAUUUUAUCCGUUGCUUUCUUUAAUUGGGUCAUUUCAGAGGGUGGGUAGAUUUUGUUAAGACAGUUGAAAUAUUUAGGUAGGUAGAGGGGUGAGUGCAGUUGAAGAGUAAAGGCUGUUUGGGGCAGACAAAAGAAUGAUAGCACUCUUUCAAGUGCUCUGCCACCAGCAGUAAAAGUCGGGAGAAGGACCUAGCACCAGGACACGUGAUCUGUCCGGCGUAAGCGAGUGCUGAGUCAAAGGCCUGCAAUUCAGGCCCCUGCUCUGGGGCACGGUCAGUUUCAGCCAGGCCCAACUCUCUUUCCCAGGUCCAUGGCGUGGAUGGCACCCAGAAUCCAGCAGGGGAGUGCUGGUGGAUACACCUGGGAGGGCCUGGUGGAGGAUCAUUUGCGUGCAGAAAUAAGGAAAUAGACAUAUUUGAGCUGGAAGAAAAUCUUACAUGUCUGAUCCAAUUCUCUCAUUUCACAGAUAAGGAAAAGGGGCCCCAAAGAGUGAAGAGGGGAUGUCCUGAGGUCAUGAGGCUGGCUUACAGCAAGGAUCUGGACCAGACAGCAGGGUGGGACCCUCAGCUGUCCCCAUACUUGCUGCUUGAUAUUGGAUAGGUUAUUUAGGCUCUAUGUGUUUUCUCAUAAACACAUAGAGGUUAGGUAAAAAUGGUGGUGUGAGAAUGAACUAAUACAUGUAAAGAGCUUGCAUGUAGUAAGCUCUCAAUAAAUAUUAAUAAUACUGGGCACAGUGGCUCACACCUGUAAUCCCAGCACUUUGAGAGGCCAAGGCGGGUGGAUCCCUUGAGGUCAGGAGUUUGAGAACGCCCUGACAAACAUGGUGAAACCCCAUCUCUACUAAAAAUACAAAAAAUUAGCCAGGCAUGGUGGUGGGUGCCUGUAAUCCCAGCUGCUCGGGAGGCUGAGGCAAGAGAAUCACUUGAACCUGAGAGGUGGAGGUUGCUUUGAGCCCAGAUCAUGCCACUGCACUCCAGCCUAGGUGACAGAACCAGACUUCAUCUCAAAAAAAAAAAAA
RNAcentral lists this long non-coding RNA (3306 nucleotides) under Homo sapiens (human). RNAcentral's name for it is "HSALNT0339849". Lineage: Eukaryota; Metazoa; Chordata; Mammalia; Primates; Hominidae. The record is from RNAcentral.